This 253-nucleotide ribosomal RNA is filed under the name uncultured bacterium. RNAcentral's name for it is "partial 16S ribosomal RNA". It matches the Rfam family "Bacterial small subunit ribosomal RNA", at positions 524 to 776 of the family's 1533-position model. The record is from RNAcentral.
UACGUAGGAUGCAAGCGUUGUCCGGAAUUACUGGGCGUAAAGGGCGAGCAGGUGGCACUACAAGUCUGAUGUAAAAUCUCCCGGCUUAACUGGGAGGGGCCAUUGGAAACUGUAGAGCUGGAGUGCAGGAGAGGCUAACGGAAUUCCCGGUGUAGUGGUGAAAUGCGUAGAUAUUGGGAAGAACACCGGUGGCGAAGGCGGCGACCUGGUCCUUGACUGACGCUGAGGCGCGAAAGCGUGGGGAGCAAACAGG